RNAcentral lists this ribosomal RNA (254 nucleotides) under uncultured bacterium. RNAcentral's name for it is "partial 16S ribosomal RNA". It matches the Rfam family "Bacterial small subunit ribosomal RNA", at positions 524 to 776 of the family's 1533-position model. The record is from RNAcentral.
UACAGAGGCGGCAAGCGUUGUUCGGAAUUAUUGGGCGUAAAGAGCACGUAGGCGGCCGUGCAAGUCGGUUGUGAAAGCCUUCCGCUUAACGGAAGAACAGCAGCCGAUACUGCAUGGCUUGAGUGCGGGAGGGGAGAGUGGAACUUCUGGUGGAGCGGUGAAAUGCGUAGAUAUCAGAAGGAACGCCGGCGGCGAAAGCGGCUCUCUGGUCCGUAACUGACGCUGAGUGUGCGAAAGCUAGGGGAGCAAACGGG